CUAAAAAGAAAAAAAAUCUAAUUUGAAUCAAAAGUGACAAUACGGUUAACUUAUAGCACUAAAUGUCAUGCUUUGCCACUCCCCCUUCCUCCCCUGUGUUCUCCCUGGGGUCGAGUGGCUACUGUAAUCUUCCAGUUCCUCACUGCUCCUUUGUGCGCUGUUUAGUGAUGCUGGGGCAGGAGAGACAUCAUACUAUGGUUCCUGGCAU
Pelobates cultripes (western spadefoot toad) is the source of this 208-nucleotide non-coding RNA. Lineage: Eukaryota; Metazoa; Chordata; Amphibia; Anura; Pelobatidae. The record is from the annotation of a GenBank genome assembly.